AACGAACGCUGGCGGCGUGCUUAACACAUGCAAGUCGAACGCGAAAGGGACUUCGGUCCUGAGUAAAGUGGCGCACGGGUGAGUAACGCGUAGAUAACCUGUCUUCAUGUCUGGAAUAAUACGCCGAAAGGGGUACUAAUACCGGAUAUUCUUGCUUUUCAUAAGUUAUGCAAGCAAAGGUGGCCUCUGCAUAUGCUACUGCAUGAAGAGGGGUCUGCGUACCAUUAGCUAGUAGGUGGGGUAAUGGCCUACCUAGGCGACGAUGGUUAGCGGGUCUGAGAGGAUGAUCCGCCACACUGGCACUGGAACACGGGCCAGACUCCUACGGGAGGCAGCAGUGAGGAAUAUUGCGCAAUGGGGGAAACCCUGACGCAGCGACGCCGCGUGAGUGAGGAAAGGCCUUCGGGUCGUAAAGCUCUGUCAAGAGGAAAGAAGUGCACAAUGGCUAAUACCUGUUGUAUUUGACGGUACCUCUAAAGGAAGCACCGGCUGACUCCGUGCCAGCCGCCGC
Molecule: ribosomal RNA, 511 nt
Filed under: uncultured bacterium
Lineage: Bacteria
Description: bacterial SSU rRNA
Rfam family: Bacterial small subunit ribosomal RNA
Source: RNAcentral